This 87-nucleotide transfer RNA is filed under the name Candidatus Uhrbacteria bacterium CG_4_9_14_3_um_filter_36_7. Its description in RNAcentral is "tRNA-Leu". It matches the Rfam family "tRNA". Rfam says of the family: Transfer RNA (tRNA) molecules are approximately 80 nucleotides in length. Their secondary structure includes four short double-helical elements and three loops (D, anti-codon, and T loops). Further hydrogen bonds mediate the characteristic L-shaped molecular structure. tRNAs have two regions of fundamental functional importance: the anti-codon, which is responsible for specific mRNA codon recognition, and the 3' end, to which the tRNAs corresponding amino acid is attached (by aminoacyl-tRNA synthetases). tRNAs cope with the degeneracy of the genetic code in two manners: having more than one tRNA (with a specific anti-codon) for a particular amino acid; and 'wobble' base-pairing, i.e. permitting non-standard base-pairing at the 3rd anti-codon position. The record is from RNAcentral. Lineage: Bacteria; Candidatus Uhriibacteriota.
GGGCGAGUGGCGAAACUGGUAUACGCUGCAGACUUAAAAUCUGCUGGGAGCGAUCUCGUGCGGGUUCAAGUCCCGCCUCGCCCACCA